This 374-nucleotide long non-coding RNA is filed under the name Solanum tuberosum (potato). Its description in RNAcentral is "long non-coding RNA (STUB_LNC003479)". Lineage: Eukaryota; Viridiplantae; Streptophyta; Magnoliopsida; Solanales; Solanaceae. The record is from RNAcentral.
AUCCUUCCUUACCUGCAAGGCACUCGCCUGGAUUGUUCUUACUACAUUUCGGGCAAGUUGGGUAAGUUUUGGUGCCUGAAAUUCUACCUUGAGACUUAGUGCCUGACGCCCUACCUUUCUGAUCAUUACGGAACCUGGGAGAUGGAACACUAGCUGAUGAAAGGGAUGGAGUCGAAGACUUCUGCUGAAUAUGCGAGCGAUUUCCACCACCCGAUUUCUGUUGGGAAUACUCGUAGUUACAUGUUCAUGCUUUCUUAGUAUCCUUAGCCUGUUCCCUAAGCUUAUCACCCUCAACCUGCUGAGCAUGAGUCAUAAGCCUAGAGAUGUUCAUGUCUCCCAACAACAUAGCAUUCCUGCACUUUGUUUUCACUAAG